RNAcentral lists this ribosomal RNA (253 nucleotides) under uncultured bacterium. RNAcentral describes it as "partial 16S ribosomal RNA". It matches the Rfam family "Bacterial small subunit ribosomal RNA", at positions 524 to 776 of the family's 1533-position model. The record is from RNAcentral.
UCCGGCGGGUGCAAACGUUAAUCGGAAUUACUGGGCGUAAAGCGCACGUAGGCGGCACGUUAAGUGGGGUGUGAAAGCCCUGGGCUCAACCUGGGAAUUGCAUUCCAAACUGACGGGCUAGAGUGUGGUAGAGGGGGGUAGAAUUCCCUGUGUAGCGGUGAAAUGCGUAGAUAUAGGGAGGAAUACCUGUGGCGAAGGCGGCCCCCUGGACCAACACUGACGCUGAGGUGCGAAAGCGUGGGGAGCAAACAGG